UGUUAUGUACAGUUUCAAGAUCAGCUUGUUUACUACCAAAAAGAUAUUAAAGGGAAGUUGAGUUAUGGAUCUGUCUCUGAUGUCACUGGAAUACAAGCAAAAAAGUUGUUUGUAUGGGUAUCUGUAACUGGGAUUAGUGUUGAUGAAGAGUCUCAGAUGAUUGAAUUUCAUGUUGGAUUUUUGUCUGAAAAGUUACCAGCUAAGGAAUUUGAAAAUAUUCCUACUUGUACUAAUAAGAUUAAGGGCUGCCAAGAUUCUGCCUUUGCUUCAAUAUGAUGAGGACAAAUGGAGCUCUGAGGUACUGUUAUGCGUCUUGUGAAGAAUGAAAUGUCGCCUUUUGCUUGAUAAAUAGUCAGUAUUUGGAGUCUUAUGAAAUUCUUCCUUAACAUAAACAGAAGAAGGGACUUCUAUCUUUGGUGGCUGUUCUUCUUGGUUCAAUAUUUCCUUCUCAAUUCUCACACAUCUAUAAACAAAUGAAAUAGCACAUUUCUAUUUAUAAUAAUCUUUUGAUCACUGAUCACAAAUCUAUAAACAAAU
Long non-coding RNA from Solanum stenotomum, 537 nucleotides. RefSeq lists it as uncharacterized. The transcript is spliced from 2 exons. NCBI's taxonomy places the organism in Eukaryota, Viridiplantae, Streptophyta, Magnoliopsida, Solanales, Solanaceae. The record is from RefSeq and is a predicted model, not a curated record.